This 253-nucleotide ribosomal RNA is filed under the name uncultured bacterium. RNAcentral describes it as "partial 16S ribosomal RNA". It matches the Rfam family "Bacterial small subunit ribosomal RNA", at positions 524 to 776 of the family's 1533-position model. The record is from RNAcentral.
UACGGGGGGAGCAAGCGUUGUUCGGAAUUACUGGGCGUAAAGGGCUCGUAGGCGGCCAACUAAGUCGGACGUGAAAUCCCUCGGCUUAACCGGGGAACUGCGUCUGAUACUGGAUGGCUUGAGAUUGGGAGAGGGAUGCGGAAUUCCAGGUGUAGCGGUGAAAUGCGUAGAUAUCUGGAGGAACACCGGUGGCGAAGGCGGCAUCCUGGACCAACACUGACGCUGAGGAGCGAAAGCCAGGGGAGCAAACGGG